GGCUUCUCUCCGCUUCCCCGCCCGGCGGGGCCCCUGAUGGCUGCUGCCCCCGCCUCGCAGGCUGCUGGGUUUGGUCUCGGGUGGCUUUUUUUUGUGUGUGUUUUUCUUUUUGUUAUUAUUUUUCUCCUCCGUCUCGCUCUCGCUCCAGCCAAGGUGAAUGGCCCGCGGUGGGUGUAGCUGGCCUCAGCGGCUCCGCAAGGGGAAAAUGCUGGCGGUGGGGGUGCUGGCCGGCCUCUCGGUGCUCAGCCUCCUCACCUACGGCUACCUGUCCUGGGACAGCCUCGGACGCGGCCCCGGAGAGGCGCCGGCAGCGCUGGGAGAAGAGCCGGGGGUCGGCACCCCCAGCUCGCAGCCGCACAUCAUCUUCAUCCUGGCUGACGAUCAGGGCUUCAGAGAUGUAGGGUACCACGGCUCGGAGAUCAGGACGCCCACUCUGGACAAGCUAGCUGCUGAAGGGGUUAAACUGGAGAACUAUUAUGUUCAGCCUAUGUGCACACCAUCCAGAAGCCAGUUUAUCACUGGAAAGUACCAGAUACACACCGGCCUUCAGCACUCCAUUAUACGGCCAACCCAGCCCAACUGCCUACCUCUGGAUAACGUCACGCUACCUCAGAAGCUGAAGGAGGUUGGUUACUCAACACACAUGGUUGGCAAAUGGCACUUGGGGUUUUAUCGCAGAGAAUGCAUGCCCACACAGAGAGGAUUUGACACUUUCUUUGGCUCACUCUUAGGCAGCGGUGACUACUACACUCACUUCAAAUGUGACAGCCCUGGAAUAUGUGGCUAUGACCUGUAUGAGAAUGAUAAUGCAGCUUGGGAUCACGACAAUGGCAUCUACUCCACACAGAUGUACACGCAAAAAGUACAACAAAUAUUAGCUUCUCACAAUCCCAGGAAACCUAUAUUCUUAUAUAUUGCUUACCAAGCUGUUCAUUCACCUCUUCAGGCACCAGGAAAGUAUUUUGAACAUUAUCGAUCCAUAAAUAACAUAAACAGGCGAAGAUAUGCUGCGAUGCUAGCUUGUUUGGAUGAAGCCAUAAACAACGUAACCCUUGCUCUAAAGAAGUACGGUUACUAUGACAAUAGCAUUAUCAUAUACUCUUCAGAUAACGGUGGGCAGCCAAUGGCUGGAGGAAGUAACUGGCCUCUCCGAGGGAGCAAAGGAACAUACUGGGAAGGAGGUAUCCGUGCUGUUGGGUUUGUCCACAGCCCCCUUCUGAAAAACAAAGGGUCUGUGUGUAAGGAGCUUGUGCACAUCACGGACUGGUUCCCCACUUUGAUCACACUGGCUGAAGGACAGAUUGAUGAAGAUAUCCAGUUAGAUGGCUAUGAUAUAUGGGAAACCAUUAGCGAAGGCAGACGUUCUCCACGGGUAGACAUCUUACACAACAUUGACCCAAUUUACACCAAAGCCAAAAAUGGUUCUUGGGCAGCUGGCUAUGGGAUCUGGAACACUGCAAUUCAAUCUGCCAUCAGAGUGAAUCAUUGGAAACUACUGACAGGAAAUCCAGGAUAUAGUGACUGGGUUCCUCCGCAGGCCUUCAGCAACAUGGGCCCCAAUCGCUGGCAUAAUGAACGUGUUUCUUGGUCAGCUGGCAAAACUGUGUGGCUUUUCAACAUAACUGCUGAUCCAUACGAACGGGUGGACCUCUCUGCAAAGUAUCCUGAUGUAGUGAAACAGCUGUUGAGGAGGCUUUCACAGUUUAAUAAGACUGCGGUUCCUGUUCGGUACCCACCUAAGGAUCCACGGAGUAACCCAAAGCUGAAUGGAGGAGUCUGGGGUCCAUGGUUUAAAGAGGAUGAAAAGAAGAAGAAGUCAGAUAAAAGUAAAGGUGCUAAUAAGCAAAAGAAGAACAAGAACAAGAAAAAAGCAAAUCGGAAAAAAGGACAGUCAUUACAUUGCCGAUCACGUCUUGCUGGUAGAUAGACUUUCAGCAUACUUGUUUUUGCCAAGCCUAAGACAGCUUGGCCCAAAUUCCUUGAAUUCUGACAAUAUACCAGAAAUGCCUGCUCUGCACUAUGGAGGAAAGCUGUCAUCUUUUAAUUUGUUCUCAAAUUUCACUAGGAUGAGAUAUUUUGACGCUGCAUCAAACAUACAUAAACAUCCAUGUGACAGACUUUCUCCUCUACAGGAAGAAUGGUGCUCUUCCAUCACAGCUACAUUCCAGAUAGGAACACAACUACUCCUAACUUCAGAAGGCCCAUUUUUGGUGAACAAAUGAUUGUUCCUUGCCUGAAUUAGUUAGAAUUUUUUGAGAGUCUGGAAUGGCAGAUGAUUCAUAGAGAGAAAGGAAAAGCAAAGCUUGAAAACUUCUGUAGGUCUGAGAGUAUUAGCCACCAACCUGUGACAUUUUUUGAUAAAACACAGCAAAAAUUGAAGCCAACAGUAUCUUUUUUGGGGGUGCUGGGGAGAGAAAUAAGAUAGUAGGAAAGCUGCUUUGAAUUAGACAGUGUCUUUCUUAGGUAAACCAGAAAUACUUUUUAAAUUCCCUUAAUGUGCUUACCUUUCCUCAUUUGUAGUAAAACCAGAAGGUUGUUAUCAGCACACCUGAAUAACUAGCACAUGUCAUAUAUAAUUUAUUAUAGGCAUAGGCAAAAGCACAUCACCAAAGUGAAUGUAAUAUUUAAACACUUUAAGAUAUCUAUUCUACAGAACAUGCAAGACGUAAUUUAUUUUACAGCACAAUACUUUCUUCUUUUCCAUUCAAACUUUAAUUAGUGGGUGAUGCAAGGGUUGUUUAUUUGUUUUGCUUUUGAUUUUUAACUUUAUUUUCACUCAGUCAUUCAGAGUUUUGUUCAACAGAUCCAAAUCCUCAGAGUACUGUAAAACAAGGAAAUGCUGUAGACACUGCUAGGAUGAGAGAGGAGAAUGAUUCAGGCAAAAUGAGAGUCUUUGAAUGCAAACAGUGCAAAGCAGAACAGUGGAUCAGUUCUUGCAUGAAAUAUAUGUGCCAAAAUCUGACAUUGAGAAGGUGGAAGCAGCAAUGCAACCAGAGUCCUGUUUCUUCAUUUUGAAGUAGAGAGGCAAUCUUGCAUCAUGGAUGAAUUUAUUCCUUUAUAGAUGGGUGGUAGUGGGUUUUCCACUCUGUGUACUAACAACUUUCUCCAAGAUUGAUGUCACCUGCACCUAAUUGCAAUGAAAGUACAUCCAGCUACAAGCAGCUCUCUGUAUAACCUGCUGAUCAGUGUUUUUCCUGUGGUACAACAGACUAAGCUCUCUUGUUGAUCUUACUGUGAUUAAACACUGGAUUCGUAAGACCAAUGCAUGACACUGUGAGUUUGUAGUACUUUGAAGUCGCCUGCAAUUUCCAUUACCUGUUUAACACAGACUAUUUAAUGCAUGGGGAACACAACAGAACAGAGAAUGCCAUCCCUGUGUUUUGUAUGAAUAAGCUUGUGAGCUUUUAUGGAAUGUGUCAACAGAAUGCAGUUAAUUCAUAAUGGUGGUGACAUUGAGGUUGUCAUAGUCCACUUUACCAGAUGCAUGUAUUUCUUUUGAAUUUAGAUCACAAGAUAACAUGACAAUUAGGCCUCUUACCACACCAGAAACAAAAUGCACAUGUUCUUCAGAUUCAAUCACAACCAAACCAAAAGUAACAUCUCUCUGGAAACUCUGGAGGCAGUUACAUUUUUCCUUCUUGAGUCCCGCCGACAUCCAGCCAGCGAGCCUCAAGGCUGGUGCUGAAAUUUCCAGAAACGUUUGGAAAGCAACCACAGAAAUAAAUUCAACAAACCAAACCCCUGAAGAGCAGUAACAGACGCUACAGAAGCGCACUGGAGCCAGCACCCACUCGUCAUCACGGCUUGUCUCCGCUCCCACAGCUUCCACCACACGUGCCACCUCCAGCACAACACCUCCAAAACUGCUGGGCUUUCUGCUCACACUUUGGAGUCCUGAGGCCUCCUGCAGCUCUGCUAGGUUAAGUUGCAAUGAACCUAAAGCAGUGAGUGUGUCACUGGGAUGAUUGAUCUUCUUGUAUUUGUCAUAACUAUCUUCCCUGAAGUGGUUUCAUUGCUUGAAUGAGUGACCUGAGCACUGUCACCCAUAGCCUUAUGUAGAAAGUCUAUAGCCUUAUUCAGACAAGAUUUCAUCGGGCAUUUUUUAAAACUGGGGCUUCUGGGGUCUGAUUGGAUUAAUUUUGUUGUUUCUUUUCCUUUACCUUUUCUUGGAGGUGCUUUGUCAACUGGAUGCAUCUCCCCAGCGUCAUAGUCACAACUCACUUCCACUUAGAGAUCUCUUUCCCACUCUUUCUUGAAGAAAACUGGGGAGAAAUUUAAUAAUUUAAUAAGGCCUAGAUCCAUGGCUACUUCAGAUAAAUUUGUAACAGAUAUUUCUAUAUUUUUUUGUUAAUUUUUUUUCUAUAUUUUUUUGUUAAUGCUGGAAACUUUGAGCAAAGAAACUCUCAAAGUUAUUAUGCAUAAACUAUGUUAGUCAUCUGAUUGGGAUGAAAAUUCAGGCCACUUUAGUAGCAUCUUGGAAUCAUUCAGAUUUAAUUAUGGACAUUAAGAUCAAUGUUUUUGUUUGUUUGUUUGUUUAUGUAUUUUUUUUGUGUGUGUGUGUGUGUGUGUGCUUAUCUGUUCCUCACUGUACCCUCUAAUCACAACAUAAUAGUGUACAUAUGCAUGUGCACAGUCUGAUCUGUAGUUAUUGACAGUAUUUGAGAUAUCAGCUCCUGGAUCUUGUAUGUAGCAAAUGAGUGUAGAUAAUUUACAGUCCAGCGAGGUCUUGAAUAACUCACUCCAAGUGCUUGUGAGAAGAGAAGUCAGUCUAGAUAAAUGAUUUCUGUCUUCCUGCUACAGAAUACUUUUGAGGUUCAUCAGUAACCUUAUUAACAUGGCUGGUUAAAAAUAUUGACAGCCUAACACAUCAAAGCUUUAUCUCAACAGUGCUCACCAGGAGAUCCACUGAAAACAGGGAAAGAAAACCCCUUUUACCUUUAGUAGGUACUGGGAUAUGUCCUUAUUCAACUCAAAGGGAAAUGGUGAUUUGCCUGCAGAGAAAGGUAACUGAUAGCAAAACCAGUAAUAAACCAGCUGCUAAAUGACUGUUUUGAGAAGUGUCCCUUCCUCUUUUUCAAAAACACAUUGCAGCUGUGCAGUAAUGUUCCUAAGUAUUACAGCUUGUAAUAGCUUUACUGAAACAUUGAAACAGUCUGAACCCUUUCUACAAAUCACUGGUGUUUUCGAGCUGGGUGUGAAGAUUUACCAUGGUACUGCUUCUGGCAGUGGUAUUUGCUGACUUUGUCACUGGAUCUGAAUUCCUGGUUUGGCACCCCACUGAUAAGGUCUCAGUCAUUAAGUGCAUUGUACAGCAACCUUCUGCGUUCCUGUCUCUGUUUUGCUCUUCUGUGUUUCACUCUUCCUUUCUGACUUCCAGUCCUUACUCAAUUGAGUAAUUCAACCACAGCCUGCAGCAUCUCCUUAUCCUUUUUUAUUUGCUAGUAGUUAAUAAAUAAACACGCAGCUCAAAAUUAAAGUGAAUUAAAGAGAAACAAACUUCUUCAUAAGUAUUAUUUUGUUAUUCUCAGUUAAAAAUGCCCUCAAAUGAAGAUAAAAAACAAACCAUUCAAAGUUCUUAAAUGAAACUUGUAUCUCAUUAGAGUUUUGGUUUUUUUCCUUUCCAAUGCAAACAAAUUUAAAAUUUCAUUUUUGCUAGGCCUGUAGUUUUGUUCUUGCCACCAAAAAAAUAUAUAUAUUUUUUGUCCUAGUUGUCCUGUGGUGCUUCUGGAGGUGGGAGGCAAAUGGCCUGCAGUGUCUCCUGGACUGUCAGGAGUAAUGCUUUUUUAGGCCAGAAAGAAGACUUGGUCCCCCGCAUAACAAGAGCAUGACAGAAUCACUGAGCUAUCAAAUCAGUUAUUCUGCCAACAUCUUUCUGCUUCACUGAAGAGUAAAUUAAUCCUACAUAGGAGCGCUGCAGCAGGAGAGUAAGAGAGAGCACACACAUUGCUGUAGUUGAGUAGGAAGGUGCUUGUCGAGAGUGUAAAUAAUGGAUAAAUAAUUAAUUUUCUUUGGGGAACCUUCAAGGAUCUACUUCACUGAGUGCUUAUGCACACAUGGUAGAACAAGUACAGCAAGGGAUUGAGCAAUAAAGCUUCCCCGUGGGAAGAAAACAUGCCCUAAGUCAGACCUCUCAGUGUCUCCAUCUUGGCUCUUUCCAACUUGGUGGAGACCUGGGGUGGCUGCAGCUGGCCCCAGUUUCUAGAGAUGGCAGCUGGGGGUCUUGACCAGAAGGUGCUUGAGAGGGAGAUGUUCCUGCAGAAGGCACAAAGACACAGAUUGGACGACAAUCAGUGCUUGGAAAUGAAAGCAUGUGGGCUACAUUGAGUGAUUCUGCCAUACUGACCAGGUGAUGCUACCAGAGUUACUACCCGCCAAAAUCUUUAUUUAGAAAAGCAACAGUUCCAACGAGGAAACAAAAGAAGUCCAAAAAAUGGCACAACAGAUAACUUAGUGCUGAUCUGACAUCUGUUGCCUCCAGCUCACUUUGGUCUGCUGGGUUGAGGCCGCUCACGGCAGGAAGAGCAGCUGAGUGUCCCUGUUGCUGCAUGCCUCCUGUUCCAAAUUAAUAUUUCUGCGGCAAUAUGUAAAAGCAUUGAGGUCUAUCAAUUACAAAACAAUUUCCUGUGCCAGCUCCUAUUAAAGAGCCAUUACAGAAAGCUUAGCCUUGACUUUGAGCUGAAGCCCCCAAGUGGAUCUUUCUGGGAAGAAACUGUUAUUUCUUCCCAUGGGGAACUUUCCCCUUCUGCCACCUCAGAGCGCAUCUUCCCAGCACUGUCUGCCGUUACUCAUGGAGAAAGCGUGGAUCAUUUCAUAUCCAAAGGUAAAAAAGCAGAAGUGCACCCCUUUCAGACUCAGCAGUCACAGUACUUUAACAGCCAGCUAAUGCAGUGCCAAACCAUUACAGUGAACUGCAAACCCAAAUAUCUUAUCUUGUGUGAUUUCUUACUGUUGAUCCUCUUGUCUGUUCUUAUACCUCUUUGUUCCCGUAUAUUUGUGUGAUAUUCUGAUUAACCUCUCUCCAUUUUUCCCACUGUCUCCAUAUAUUCAUAUUUCUAUCCACUUUCACAUUGAUCAUUUUUGUUCCUGACACCAAUAACUGUUUGACCUUCUUUCAAUUUCUCUUUACUUACUCCUUUUUCUUAAAAUAACAUUUUCUGUCUCUGUUCCUGUCCUCUUCCUUUGUUCCGUUUGUGAUUCUCUAUUCCUAUUACAAAACUCAUUUACUGUCCUUUUUCUCAUUUCUCACUACACAAGUAAUGUAACUCCAUCAGCUACAGCCCUGUUGCACUGAUUUCCCCUUUCUAUCUGCUGUCUAGCAUCUUUCCCUUCCUCUCUCCCACGCAGCACUUUUCCUUUCUAUUUUGUUUCUAGUUCAGAAUCUCUCCUCUGACUUUCCCACCGUACUUUUACCCAUUGCCCUCUCCCUGCUGAUCGUGUUAGCAGAAACGUUGAAAUUUGUUGUCUUAUUGCACAGAUCUCAGCUUCCUUCAUCCCCUCCUUGUUUGUUAUGUCAAGCCCACCACCACUCUCCUGGUGCAACCAGAGCUGGGUGUCAGGUGUUGUCCAUGCAAGCCUCUCUAGAGCAGCACAAGACAGAGGGACUUUUAUCAUGCUGCUAAGGAGACCAUUGCUCGCCAGUGAGUUCUGCCAACCUGGGUUCACAUUUUGUAUCAACAAGAUUUGUAUGCUUUAUUGAUCAAGUUACAGUUCAUUGGCUUUAUUGUCAUAUGCACCUGUAACCGCAUCAGUGUUCACUGUCACUCACUUUGGGGCAGUAAAGCUUUGCCACAGGAAUACUUGAGAAGGACCAUGGGCUGCCAUUCAAGACCAUCUGGUACUAAACAGUAUUUCUCUAAACCCAUGGUUACCUAGGUAUCAAUCAAGGCCGUUUUCUAUCUAGACCUCUGCUGUAAGUGGCCAUUCAAUUUGUCCACAAGCUAAAUAUACAGUACUCCUAGCAGAGCUCAUAAUGAGUGCACAUGAAUGACCUUUCAAAAGCUCUCUAACUCCUUCAAAACACAAGCAGAGAGAAAGUCUGUAUUUGCGAGAUCAGAAAUAAAAUGAAAACCUCACUUUGGUGAAUAAAAAAGCCAUAUACAGGAAAGCCCUUGAUGAAUAGCAUACUUUUAACAAAAAUACCAUUUCCUUUGCCACAAUAAAUGUUGUUUCAGAUUCUGAAAUUAAGUGCUUGUUCCACUGGGCUGUAACAUUUUGUUAAGCUGCAGAGACGUUAGAGGAACAGCUAUUCCAUUUCUUACAGACUUCAGCUAUUUUCAAUUCUCUUUUAAUAUUUCUUUUUCUCUGGAGGAGAGAAACAUGUCCUAGGAUUUUCUCUAAGCCUUUUUUGGUUCAUUAUGGAGAUCUGACUUUCUGCGUCCACUAAAGCAACCACAGAUGAACUACUUUUGCAGCCUUAGGGAAACCUGAACCUGGAGCCAGCUUUUAGAAUUCACUGACAGGCCCAGGUCCUUGGCUGCCGUGGCAGAGGCUCUGCUCCUCUCAGAAAGUUUGGUGAAUUUAUGGAGGACUUAAGUAGCAGCUACAAAUCAUGGUUCUGUUUCAGCUCAAGAGUGAACUGCAUUUAAGGGAGCAUUGUUGUAACAAGAAGAAAACUUCCCAGCUCAAGUGUUUCCAAGCUAUUAAUCACUCCCAAGUAUCUGUCCCCCUGGAAAUUCUCCAAGUCCUUAUGAUACUGCUCUUGUAAACAAUUAUUUUCUUUCCUGAA
This is an RNA transcript of Centrocercus urophasianus (Greater sage-grouse), 8725 nucleotides long. It is a transcript of the gene named arylsulfatase family member J, with no coding region annotated. The transcript is spliced from 6 exons. NCBI's taxonomy places the organism in Eukaryota, Metazoa, Chordata, Aves, Galliformes, Phasianidae. The record is from RefSeq and is a predicted model, not a curated record.